CGUAGGGUGCGAGCGUUGUCCGGAAUUAUUGGGCGUAAAGAGCUCGUAGGCGGUUUGUCGCGUCGGCCGUGAAAACUUGGGGCUUAACCCCAAGCCUGCGGUCGAUACGGGCAGACUUGAGUUCGGCAGGGGAGACUGGAAUUCCUGGUGUAGCGGUGAAAUGCGCAGAUAUCAGGAGGAACACCGGUGGCGAAGGCGGGUCUCUGGGCCGAUACUGACGCUGAGGAGCGAAAGCGUGGGGAGCGAACAGGAUUAGAUACCCUGGUAGUCCACGCCGUAAACGGUGGGUGCUAGGUGUGGGGGGCUUCCACGCCCUCUGUGCCGCAGCUAACGCAUUAAGCACCCCGCCUGGGGAGUACGGCCGCAAGGCUA
This 372-nucleotide ribosomal RNA is filed under the name uncultured organism. Its description in RNAcentral is "bacterial SSU rRNA". It matches the Rfam family "Bacterial small subunit ribosomal RNA", at positions 526 to 896 of the family's 1533-position model. The record is from RNAcentral.